RNAcentral lists this ribosomal RNA (449 nucleotides) under uncultured bacterium. Its description in RNAcentral is "partial 16S ribosomal RNA". It matches the Rfam family "Bacterial small subunit ribosomal RNA", at positions 29 to 523 of the family's 1533-position model. The record is from RNAcentral.
AACGAACGCUGGCGGCAGGCCUAACACAUGCAAGUCGAUCGCUCCAGCAAUGGAGAGUGGCAGACGGGUGAGUAACGCGUGGGAACCUACCCUUUGGUUCGGAAUAGCUCAGGGACACUUGAGGUAACACCGGAUACGCCCUGCGGGGGAAGGAUUUAUCGCCAAUGGAUGGGCCCGCGUGGGAUUAGCUAGUUGGUAGGAUAACGGCCUACCAAGGCGACGAUCCGUAGCUGGUCUGAGAGGAUGGUCAGCCACACUGGGACUGAGACACGGCCCAGACUCCUACGGGAGGCAGCAGUGGGGAAUAUUGGACAAUGGGCGCAAGCCUGAUCCAGCCAUGCCGCGUGAGUGACGAAGGUCUUCGGAUUGUAAAGCUCUUUUGGCGGGGAAGAUAAUGACGGUACCCGCAGAAUAAGCCCCGGCUAACUUCGUGCCAGCCGCCGCCGUAA